UCUCUCUGCAAAUCGUAUAAAUCUUUCACCUUUUACUAAAGAUUUCCAUGGAAUGAAAUAAUAGUUUAUUUUUCCUUUGCUCUUGCAGGUGGAA
RNAcentral lists this small nuclear RNA (94 nucleotides) under Rhinolophus ferrumequinum (greater horseshoe bat). Its description in RNAcentral is "U5 spliceosomal RNA (ENSRFEG00010017878.1)". It matches the Rfam family "U5 spliceosomal RNA". Rfam says of the family: U5 RNA is a component of both types of known spliceosome. The record is from Rfam by way of RNAcentral. Lineage: Eukaryota; Metazoa; Chordata; Mammalia; Chiroptera; Rhinolophidae.